RNAcentral lists this ribosomal RNA (506 nucleotides) under uncultured bacterium. RNAcentral describes it as "bacterial SSU rRNA". It matches the Rfam family "Bacterial small subunit ribosomal RNA", at positions 8 to 524 of the family's 1533-position model. The record is from RNAcentral.
AGAGUUUGAUCAUGGCUCAGGACGAACGCUGGCGGCGUGCUUAAUACAUGCAAGUCGAACGGAGCCUAGCAGGUAGUUUACUACAGGCGAAAGCUUAGUGGCGGACGGGUGAGUAACGCGUGGGUAAUCUGCCCCUAAGUCUGGGAUAACAGAGCGAAAGUUCUGCUAACACCGGAUACACUUCCUUUAUCGCAUGGUGAAGGAAGGAAAGGUUACGCUUAGGGAUGAGCCCGCGUCCCAUUAGCUAGUUGGUGAGGUAACAGCUCACCAAGGCGACGAUGGGUAGCCGGCCUGAGAGGGUGGACGGCCACACUGGGACUGAGACACGGCCCAGACUCCUACGGGAGGCAGCAGUAGGGAAUUUUCCGCAAUGGGCGAAAGCCUGACGGAGCAACGCCGCGUGAGGGAAGAAGGUCUUCGGAUCGUAAACCUUUGUCAUCGAGGACGAUAAUGACGGUACUCGAGGAGGAAGCCCCGGCUAACUACGUGCCAGCAGCCGCGGUAAU